Molecule: long non-coding RNA, 1033 nt
Organism: Strigops habroptila (Kakapo)
Lineage: Eukaryota; Metazoa; Chordata; Aves; Psittaciformes; Psittacidae
Source: Ensembl
AGACCACGCCCCCCUGAGUCAUCGCCCUGCGCGGCCCCGCCGGACCCAGCCAUGCAGAACUAUCGGGGGCUCACGGACAAGGAGCUGCUGGAGAAGCUCAAGAGCUACCGCAUCCCCCAUGGGGCCCUCCAGGGCUCCACGAGGAAGCUCUAUGAGAAGAAGAUCUACGAGUUCGAGACCCGGCGGUGCCGGCGGGGGGGUGGCGAUGGUCCCGACCACGACGGGCCCCCCCUGGACUAUGGGGGAGCAGCACGAGCCUGGCAGCCUAUCACGGAGCGUUUCCGAGGCCCCCCCGGGCUGAUGGAGGAGGAGCAGAGGCUGGACCCUCCCAGUUGGGGGCCCGGGGGGGGCCCGUUGCCGCGGGAACCGCUGCGGCCCCCCCCGCCUCCGCCUCCCCCCACGGGCCUCCCCCGGCGCCUCCUCCCGCUGCGGCCGCAGCUCCUGGCCCUGGGGCUCCUCGUGGCCCUUCUGGUGCUGCUGCACUUCGGGGGGGGGGGGGGGCACCCCCGAAACCACCCCCCCGCGGAGGAGACCCCCCCAUAACCCCCCUCCUCGACCCCAAUGUCUCACAGGGACCCCCCCAAACCCCACAAGGACCCCCUCAGGGACCCCCCCAAACCACUCAUUGUCCCCCCAGGGACCCCCUAAUAUGCCUUUGGAACACCCAGGGCCCCCCCCGGACCCCAAUACCCCCAGGGCCACCCAACACUAUUAUGCCCCCCCCCCCCCGACCCCCAUUAUCCCCUUUGGACCCACAGGGACCCCCCCGGACCCCAAUACCCCCAGGGCCACCCAACACUAUUAUGCCCCCCCCCCCCCCGACCCCCAUUAUCCCCUUUGGACCCCCAGGGACCCCCCCAAAACCACCCAUUGCCCCCUCCACGGAUCCCCAUUAUCCCCUUGGGAGCCCCCAGAUCACGCCUAGACCCUCCCCAGACCCCCCUUGUUCCGACACGACCCCCCGAAACCGGGGGGGGGAUGAGGGGCGGGAGUCUCCCCCCCCCCAUUAAUAAAGGCAGCGUGUUUGUAUGGA